This 480-nucleotide ribosomal RNA is filed under the name Blastocystis sp. Its description in RNAcentral is "SSU rRNA". It matches the Rfam family "Eukaryotic small subunit ribosomal RNA", at positions 460 to 953 of the family's 1831-position model. The record is from RNAcentral. Lineage: Eukaryota; Bigyra; Opalinata; Blastocystidae.
GGAGGUAGUGACAAUAAAUCACAAUGCGGGACUAUACGUCUUGCAAUUGGAUUGAGAACAAUGUACAACUCUUAUCGAUAAGCCAUUGGAGGGCAAGUCUGGUGCCAGCAGCCGCGGUAAUUCCAGCUCCAAUAGCGUAUAUUAACGUUGUUGCAGUUAAAAAGCUCGUAGUUGAAGUGUGGGUGAUCGCUAUUGUGAGACUUCGGUCUCUCGAUAGUAAGUCACCCCCUUCCAGUAUCCAGUAGUGGGUAUUCAGUUACUUACUAUUGUGUGUUGGUCCUUUACUGUGAGAAAAUUAGAGUGUUCAAAGCAGGCGUUUGCUUGAAUAGAUUAGCAUGGAAUAAUAAUUGAAGGCUUUCGUGUUCGAUUUGAUUGGUUUGUUCAUGGAAGCAAGGUUAAAAGGAACAGUUGGGGGUAUUCAUAUUCACUAGUUAGAGGUGAAAUUCUCGGAUUUAUGGAAGAUGAACAAGUGCGAAAGCA